This is an RNA transcript of Ipomoea triloba (trilobed morning glory), 1535 nucleotides long. It is a transcript of the gene named guanylate kinase 2, chloroplastic/mitochondrial, with no coding region annotated. The record is from RefSeq and is a predicted model, not a curated record. NCBI's taxonomy places the organism in Eukaryota, Viridiplantae, Streptophyta, Magnoliopsida, Solanales, Convolvulaceae. The transcript has 3 exons.
AAGAUGAAGAACAUCAGCUCCGAUAAACCAUACAGCUAAGCUAACUCCAAUAAAUUUCUCAAAUCAUCGUCGAAAUUUGAAACUAGUCCCCGUUCCAACAUACGAUUCUGAGGGAUUUGUAGUAAUUUUCCGGCAAUUUUUCGCGGUUGCUUUGUAAUUUUCCUCCAAUACGUUCUUCAAAUCCCUACAUCCCCUAAAAACCAAAUCCCCAAUUUGUCACCCUCUGCAAAUCUCGAUGCUAUAUCGAAGGCUCUGCACAUUGUUAGCAACUUCUAACCACAACCCAUUUCUCCUCCACCGGAAUCUCACAAACCCUUUUGCCAUUUUCGAGCGGAACCCGAAGUCGCUGUCCGUACCGAAGCAGCGGUUUCAGCCGCCAAGUCCGGCGACCCACCGCCACAUUUCGUACACCUCCCGAAUGAGUUACGCCAGACGGUCAGAAGCGGUGCCUAUUCCUUCCCCCGAUACUGCCAACAAGGCCGAGGUGAUUCGCGCCCUUGAGGCCGCUUUAGGGUCGCCGUUUAGUUCCGACCCGUUAGCCCCAAACCCUAACCCUUUAAUCGUGGUGAUCAGUGGGCCCAGUGGGGUUGGAAAAGAUGCAGUGAUUAAACGCUUGCGAGAAGUUAAAGAAAACAUUCAUUUUGUUGUCACGGCCACUAGCCGUGAAAAGCGGGCCGGUGAGGAAGAUGGGAAAGAUUACUAUUUUGUGAGCAAAGAGGAAUUUGUGUCAAUGAUUGAAAGGAAUGAGCUUUUGGAGUAUGCAUUGGUGUAUGGGGAUUAUAAGGGUAUCCCGAAACAGCAAAUUAGGGAUUACAUGGCUAAAGGGUGUGACAUUGUAUUGAGAGUGGAUAUUCAAGGGGCUGCAACUCUGAGGAAGAUCCUCGGGAAUGCUGCGGUGUUUGUGUUCUUGGUAGCCGAGAGCGAGGAGGCGCUCGUUAAGAGGUUGAUAGAUAGGAAGACGGAGACGAGGGAGACUUUGCUUGUGAGAAUUGCCACGGCUCGGGAGGAGGUGAGGCAUAUGAAGAGCUUCGAUUAUGUUGUUGUGAACCGAGAAGGGGAGUUGGAGAGUUCGGUUAAGUUGGUCGAGACCAUCAUUGAUGCCGAGAAGGCCCGAGUGGCACAAAGGAAUGCCACGAUCUAGUGAUUGCUCGAUUUUGUUGUUUAGUUAUUUGGUAUCAUUGGUGGAGCUUAUAGUUCAUACAUUUUCAUUGAAUCAUUUGCACCGGAUUGCUGGGCUCUGAACACGGGUGGGUUAUCGUUAUCUUCAUGCAUUCGAAGAUACAGAAUCCCGACUUUAGAAGCAGCAGCAAAGAAUCUUUGCCUAACUACAUGAAUGCACAGAUGACAGCCUUGGCAAGUUGAGUUCUAAAGACAAAGAAUGCUUAACUUGUAUCCACUUUUUUAUUUGCAUUUGAAGGUAAAGAUUAUGUAUAGUUUUGUAUUUGACAAUAUCCCAGCAUGUUAAUGUCCAGAUCAUUCAUUCCUUGCUUAUUCCUGCAAAAUAUUAAUUAGCCCAUUCAAUGUUUAUUAUUGCA